UGGGGAAUUUUGGACAAUGGGGGAAACCCUGAUCCAGCCAUCCCGCGUGUGCGAUGAAGGCCUUCGGGUUGUAAAGCACUUUUGGCAGGAAAGAAACGUCAUGGGUUAAUACCCCGUGAAACUGACGGUACCUGCAGAAUAAGCACCGGCUAACUACGUGCCAGCAGCCGCGGUAACACGUAGGGUGCAAGCGUUAAUCGGAAUUACUGGGCGUAAAGCGUGCGCAGGCGGUUCGGAAAGAAAGAUGUGAAAUCCCAGAGCUCAACUUUGGAACUGCAUUUUUAACUACCGGGCUAGAGUGUGUCAGAGGGAGGUGGAAUUCCGCGUGUAGCAGUGAAAUGCGUAGAUAUGCGGAGGAACACCGAUGGCGAAGGCAGCCUCCUGGGAUAACACUGACGCUCAUGCACGAAAGCGUGGGGAGCAAACAGG
This 429-nucleotide ribosomal RNA is filed under the name Acidobacteriota bacterium. Its description in RNAcentral is "Acidobacteria bacterium partial 16S ribosomal RNA". It matches the Rfam family "Bacterial small subunit ribosomal RNA", at positions 355 to 776 of the family's 1533-position model. Lineage: Bacteria; Pseudomonadati; Acidobacteriota. The record is from RNAcentral.